GCAGUCGAACGCGUUGGCCCAACUGAUUGAACGUGCUUGCACGGACUUGACGUUGGUUUACCAGCGAGUGGCGGACGGGUGAGUAACACGUAGGUAACCUGCCCCAAAGCGGGGGAUAACAUUUGGAAACAGAUGCUAAUACCGCAUAACAAUUUGAAUCGCAUGAUUCAAAUUUAAAAGAUGGCUUCGGCUAUCACUUUGGGAUGGACCUGCGGCGCAUUAGCUUGUUGGUAGGGUAACGGCCUACCAAGGCUGUGAUGCGUAGCCGAGUUGAGAGACUGAUCGGCCACAAUGGAACUGAGACACGGUCCAUACUCCUACGGGAGGCAGCAGUAGGGAAUCUUCCACAAUGGGCGCAAGCCUGAUGGAGCAACACCGCGUGAGUGAAGAAGGGUUUCGGCUCGUAAAGCUCUGUUGUUAGAGAAGAACGUGCGUGAGAGCAACUGUUCACGCAGUGACGGUAUCUAACCAGAAAGUCACGGCUAACUACGUGCCAGCAGCCGCGGUAAUACGUAGGUGGCAAGCGUUAUCCGGAUUUAUUGGGCGUAAAGCGAGCGCAGGCGGUUUGAUAAGUCUGAUGUGAAAGCCUUUGGCUUAACCAAAGAAGUGCAUCGGAAACUGUCAGACUUGAGUGCA
Molecule: ribosomal RNA, 636 nt
Filed under: Limosilactobacillus mucosae
Lineage: Bacteria; Bacillati; Bacillota; Bacilli; Lactobacillales; Lactobacillaceae
Description: bacterial SSU rRNA
Rfam family: Bacterial small subunit ribosomal RNA
Source: RNAcentral